AGGGUUUUACCUGCCUCCCCAUACAUAAACCCUUACCCUCUUCUAGACGUCUCUCCACAACCUUACACAGCACACUCUGGCGAUCGACAGAGAGAAAGACAUCAUGGUUGGUAGUUUACACAGUUUGUGGGCAGAGAUCUGCCGUCUGAGAACGAUGAACACCCUAAGGUGAGUAAGGUCUGCCGUCUGCAAAUGAAGCGAAGCUCUAGGUUAUCAAUAACGUCUGCCGCCAAGUUUUGGUUCUGGACUUCUGGUGAAAAUCAUGCUUAUAUAGAGUUCAAUGGUCCAAUAACGGCUAGUACAGUUUUUCAAAGCAAAGGAAAUAAAAUUGGAUGACAAAUUCAGUAGUCACGUUGAUCAUAUCAAUACUUUCCAUCCAAAUCAACAGUUUCGUUGGAAAAUCCAAUCUUCUACCUAGAGUCACAGGUUUGCAUGAUGAGAUAUAAAACCUCAUUGCUAUUGCAUAACUUGCUUAGACUAUCCCGUUGAAUGGCAUAAGACAGUUUAGCAUUUUGUUUACUAGGAACCAUGCAUUCUCCUUCGAGCUCUCAUUAGUUGUAGAUUGUGAUAAUGAGUGUGGUUUGUUUUGAAUUUUAA
Ipomoea nil (Japanese morning glory) is the source of this 597-nucleotide long non-coding RNA. RefSeq lists it as uncharacterized. The transcript is spliced from 3 exons. Lineage: Eukaryota; Viridiplantae; Streptophyta; Magnoliopsida; Solanales; Convolvulaceae. The record is from RefSeq and is a predicted model, not a curated record.